GCACUCACUUUGGCAGCACAUACACUAAAAUUGGAACGAUACAGAGAAGAUUGGCAUGGCCCCUGUGCAAGGAUGACAUGCAAAUUCAUGAAACGUUCCAUAUUUUU
Molecule: small nuclear RNA, 107 nt
Organism: Chlorocebus sabaeus (green monkey)
Lineage: Eukaryota; Metazoa; Chordata; Mammalia; Primates; Cercopithecidae
Source: Ensembl